GACGAACGCUGGCGGCGUGCCUAACACAUGCAAGUCGAACGGAGCCCUAGAAAGAUUUCCUUCGGGACUGAUUUUUAGACGCUUAGUGGCGAACGGGUGAGUAUCGCGUGAGUAACCUGCCUUUCAGUAUGGGAUAACACUUGGAAACAGGUGCUAAUACCGUAUGUAGUAUAUACCUCGCAUGGGGAAUAUAUAAAAGAUUUAUCGCUGAAAGAUGGACUCGCGUCCAAUUAGAUAGUUGGUGAGGUAAUGGCUCACCAAGUCGAUGAUUGGUAGCCGGACUGAGAGGUUGAACGGCCACAUUGGGACUGAGACACGGCCCAGACUCCUACGGGAGGCAGCAGUGGGGGAUCUUGCACAAUGGAGGAAACUCUGAUGCGGCGACGUCGCGUGAAGGAAGAAGGUCUUAGGAUUGUAAACUUCUGUCAAUGGCGAAAUAAUGAUUAGCCAUAGAGGAAGCCACGGCUAACUACGUGCCAGCAGCCGCAGUAA
RNAcentral lists this ribosomal RNA (492 nucleotides) under uncultured bacterium. RNAcentral describes it as "bacterial SSU rRNA". It matches the Rfam family "Bacterial small subunit ribosomal RNA", at positions 28 to 523 of the family's 1533-position model. The record is from RNAcentral.